UACGUAGGGUGCAAGCGUUAAUCGGAAUUACUGGGCGUAAAGCGUGCGCAGGCGGUUUUGUAAGUCUGUCGUGAAAGCCCCGGGCUCAACCUGGGAAUUGCGAUGGAGACUGCAAGGCUUGAAUCUGGCAGAGGGGGGUAGAAUUCCACGUGCAGCAGUGAAAUGCGUAGAGAUGUGGAGGAACACCGAUGGCGAAGGCAGCCCCCUGGGUCAAGAUUGACGCUCAUGCACGAAAGCGUGGGGAGCAAACAGG
Molecule: ribosomal RNA, 253 nt
Filed under: uncultured bacterium
Lineage: Bacteria
Description: partial 16S ribosomal RNA
Rfam family: Bacterial small subunit ribosomal RNA
Source: RNAcentral